Molecule: long non-coding RNA, 516 nt
Organism: Brachypodium distachyon (stiff brome)
Lineage: Eukaryota; Viridiplantae; Streptophyta; Magnoliopsida; Poales; Poaceae
Exons: 2
Source: RefSeq, a predicted model, not a curated record
CAGAAAGGCCAGUUUUCAAACUACCGUAUACAUUUGUUCUUCUCCAUUUUGUGUCUUGUUGAUUUGUGGAACACGGAACACAAGUGAAGGAAGGGGACCUAGAGGAACUACGGGUGGGCAAGAAAAGGAUUUGACUCUUGAAGAUAUCAGCGUUCUUCCUUGGGAGGCUUAAUGAAAAGUUAGGCAAAUGCAGACAGUCUAAUAGAAAGAAAUCGGGUGGGAGCUAAAUAUCCGAGCCCCAAAUCAAGUCGUUACGGUUCAGAUUCAGGACCUCCGAGCCAAAUCCGGGGUUUCUCUAAGCUAUACAGCAACAUUUGGGGUGCUCGAAAUGGAAUCCAGGCCAAAUCGGGGCUAAUUCUGGUUUUGUACGGGCACAUUAAAAUACAUGUGAGAGCUUCUUUACGCCUUGGCCAGGUAGGUACAAGGUCUAGGUAGAUGUUUAAGCUUUGCUUUGUCCCUUCGUAACCAUUACCUCUCUUCAUAAAUAGAAAUCUCUUCUUUUAUCCUUUUCUUUUA